This 1196-nucleotide long non-coding RNA is filed under the name Durio zibethinus. RNAcentral's name for it is "long non-coding RNA (DZIB_LNC000423)". Lineage: Eukaryota; Viridiplantae; Streptophyta; Magnoliopsida; Malvales; Malvaceae. The record is from RNAcentral.
CGGGAUGCAAAUUGGUGUGUGGGUCACUUUUUGCUGAGUUCAAAACGCUGUCAUUUUAGCAUCUCUUUACUUUCCUUGCCUCCGUCUUGCUUUUCAACUUCUUCUCUCUACACUCUCUGUCUUGCUUUUCAACUUCUCCUCUUUUCAACUUCAUCAAAACCCUUCUCUCUUCAACCUUUUUCGUCGUCCUUAUCCAAAACCCAACAAAACCCAAACUCUGAUUGAAAAUCGUCGCCUACUCCAUCCUUUAUCGUUGUCCAUCGACUGCAAACCACAGAAGAAAACCCCGAACAAAGCACCAAAGUUAGAAAACCCACAGCUUAAAAACGAUACAGACCAUCACCUACUUCGUUGUUGAUCGCUAGCAUUCGAUCUUUGCCAGUGACCACCUUCGGUCUUCUUCAAGCUUCCCUUUUCAACCUAGGUUGUGAUUCCUGAGUAGUUUAUGGGUUUUCUGGGAAUUGACUGGGCAUGAGCUCGGGUUUUGUUUUUGGGAAUUGGGUUUUUCUGACUUGGUUCGAGUGUGGGUUUGGAUGAUUUUGGGUUUGUUUGCUAGUGUUGUGUUUGAUCUUUUCUGGGUUUCUUUGCUUGGCUUCGGUCUGCUCUUUGGUUGUUUAUGCUGGCUUGAUUUGCUUCCUAAUUGUUGUCUACUGCCUUGGGAUUUUUCUGCUGAUGGUUUUUUUGAUCCCUUGUUAAAUUUUCUUGAACUCUCUGUUUGUAGCACUUGGUGGAUUGGGUGGCUGACCUACUAUGGCUAAAUUGCUAUUGAAUCAUUAUGUUGCCUUGAUGAAUUUCUUUUACUGGUUUUGGGUUUAUUGGGUAGGGGCUUGUAAGUUGGUUGUUUUGAUUGAGACCUUCGGCUGCACUAUGCGAUAUCUUGACUGAGCUAUUGCUAGAAUUUCUGAUUUUUUAAAAUAAUUUUUGCAGCAAAUUGAUCUCUAUCGAAUUGCUUGUUAAUUGCUUGAUGCUUCCUCCUUCUCCCCUUGAUCACAUAUUUGAAUCCUUUAUAUAGGGAUUCAUGCUUUUUCUAUUUUGAAAAAAAAAAAAAAUCAAUUCCACCAGACCCGUGAUUUGAUUUGAUUUUUGUGAAUUAACUUUUUUGUGAUUUUAUUACUUCUACAAUCUUCCCUUUUUCAAUGAAUCAAGAAAUAAAUUCUAAAGAUUGAAUCCAAGAUUUUCCUACAAAAUUCCCCCAU